AGGUGGAACCAAUGAUAGCAAAUGCUGACAAAGAGAAAGCUGGACAAGCAGUUUUUUGGUGAUUAAUACCGAAGGGACGGGAUGAAAGAAGGAAGCAAGAAUGCAGUUUAGUGGACCCUUGACAGCACCAGAAGCUGCGGCAGUAGGAGGUGUUCUGGCCUGGGUAACUAAGGUAACUCUUGAUGCUGAAUGUUAGUUAUUUCGGCCUCCCGGAGGCAGCGCUGAGGACUCAGUAACCCGUUCCUACCCUGUGGAUAUUGUUCACUGUAUCUGCCUUAGUUUUGUUUUGGUCGUUUCUAUUUUGUUUUGUUAUCAUACGUGCAUCUAUAGAAAGGGAAAGAUACAAUAUUUAAUUUUUAGAUUAAUUGCCACGGCUGAAGUUGAAGAGACCAGAAAAAUGUAAGCAAGCUGAAGUAAUAAAAUCAAAAGGAACCAAGCGAGAGCUGUCUCCAUCGCCCAAAAAGGGAAAGCCCAUUCCUCCUGGCGAGGAAGGAUCACCAAUAAUAGCAAUUGGAAUAAUAGAUCACCAACAUAUAACGGAAGGUCUGUACGCAUUACAAAAAGUAUGCUACGUACAUAUAUUUCUGCGCGUGUGACUUCAUGCAUCUAUGAAGCAUCAUACUUUAAGAGCUACAAGACAGCAAACUAUUAUCCUAGGGGAAUGGUGGUCAAGUGGCCAGAGUUACUGAAGAGACAGAGACAGAGAGACAGAAGUGUCUGAAUUGUAAAACGAAGAGAUGGCUUUCAGGAAGGCUCAGUUAGCGCGACCCCAGGUUAAUUGCCUGGCAAUGGCAUUUGGGGCAGCAGGAAGGCGGCAGCUAGAAGAAAAGUUAAAGCCUUGCGGAAUUAAGACUCCUUCUCGUCAGUUCCAACUCCGAGCAAUCUUAGGAGGAUUUAAUUUCCUCCAGCAGCGUUAACCUGGCUUUGCCAGUAUCAGCGCACCGUGAUGGAAAUGACCGGAAAGGAGUCAGGAACGGAACCGGAACAAGGAACAUGAGGCUGCUUUCACUGGACUGGAAGAAGCGGCUAAGAUCUGCUGCCCUCAAAUCCCCAGGACAAGGCCGAUGGAUUUUACUAAGCCUCCAUCAACAAGCGCUGGCUGACAGAGCUGUUACGUCCCAGCGGAGACUCUUAGGCAAGACGGAGGAGUUCAGCUCCGCAGCCUGCCAGAAGAGCGUCGCCCGCGAGGGGUUGCUAGCCUGGAGUUAUAGGCGCCGAUGCACAUGGCUCGUUCUGUCAGGCGCGAAGAGGCAUUCAGAACAUCGGGGAACGACUGUAUGCUGCCGUGAAGAACUGUUAGAGAAUAUCGGACUGAAGCUGUCUAGAAUUAAUUGCUUAGCAUAACUUGCUUAGCAUUAGUAGCUAAAUUUGCUGAAGCCUUAGGCCUCAGGCUGUGAACUUUUACUUAGAUAAGUAAAAGGGGGCCCCAGAGCCGGUUCAGGCUGGAGGGAUAAAGAAGUUACACGGACAGCAGGAGUAGCCGACCUUGAAGAUAAGAAGCAGCCUGCCUAGAGACAAUGAAGGGGCCCAAGGAAGAAGGGGAAGAACCCAGACCUAACUAUUACUAUUGGUSCAAACUAUYGCUUAAGGKGUGGGGAAUUUAGAUUGUAAGGGUAUAAUUGCCCAGGGAUUUCUUUGUUUGGAGUCCCUCUUCGGAGGCACCCAGCUCGAGCUGUAAUUACCACACAUGUAUCAUUAAAUUUUAUUUCUCUCCAAUCUGACUUCAAACUUCUGCCUCAGCAGGAACCUAGGGUCAGAUCCUGUUAUGGUGGCCGGUGAGCCUAAUUUUCCAUCACAGAACUACAGGCUCCCGCCCUCAGCCCUUUGCAAGUUAUCAGGUGUCAAGAGCGGCCAGGAGACUCCAAAUGCCAGGGGAAAGGUUCUCUGCCCGGUCCUGACGAGGAGCCUUCGGCCGUAGGGGGGUUGGCAGCAUUACUGGCAGGUUACCGGACUUGUGAGUAAUAAGCCGCAGUUCACGGAGCAGCAGGGAAUGUGG
This 1996-nucleotide long non-coding RNA is filed under the name Apteryx rowi (Okarito brown kiwi). Its description in RNAcentral is "lncRNA (ENSARWG00000006429.1)". Lineage: Eukaryota; Metazoa; Chordata; Aves; Apterygiformes; Apterygidae. The record is from RNAcentral.